CCGGCCGCCGCGAGCUCCGCACUUACCCGGGCCGCGGCGAGGUGUCGGCGGGCGGGCUCCGGCACGCCGCUACUGCGGGGGGCCGGGGGGGCCGGGUGUGUUUGGGGGGGUCCGUAAUCCGACAGGCUUUGGGCAGCCAAAUGUAAACACUCCGCCAUGAUUUCUUUGUUUAGAUAAUUGAACCUGCCUCCCUCUCCCUCGCCGACUCUCGCUCGCUUUUAUUUAUUUAUUUCCCCCCCCUCCCGUCAGCAUCAUCAUCAUCGUUAUGGCUUGUGUGGGGUGUUUUUUUUUUGUUUUUUUUUUUUUUUUUUUUUUUUUCCGUUAAAGGGUUGUUAUUUAAUAGCUGGAUGUGACAAUAGCCGGAUACUCAUAUAUCCGCGGAUAAUAAACAUUUAUAUCUGAGCACAUCCACGGGGGCAGGCGGGAGGCGUUACUCAGGGUGGGCAGCCCCCAGCCCGGUGCUUCACCUGGGGCCGGGGCCGGGAUUGGGGGGGGGGCACACGCGGGCAGCUCAGCUCCCAGCACGGCGCCCGGUCGGCGGGAGCGAUGGAAACUUCCAGAUCCCAGCCCCUGCACUGCGUUUCUGCACAACUCGGCCCCAGCUGCGUCAAGUUUCUCCAGUUGGAAACAUGGGAGUGUUUCCAGUUUCAGUACUGCUUGACUUCAGAGCACCUCAUGAGGGGCUCCCGGUGCCCACGGAGCAUCCCUUCUGAAAGACAGGUGAUGCUUCCCAGGACUCCCAUAGAAGCGUCCUGGGAGAAGGCAGGAGCUGUGCCCUGCUCUCCGGCCCCGCAUCGCCCACAGCGUUCACCCCCAGGGCUGCAGGCACCGUGCCACUCACCCAGGGGCCUUGGUGAAGACUCUGGAGGUCUUCAGGUGCUGGGAAAUGUGCAGCGCUUCAGGAGCUACCCUUGCUGCUGA
Molecule: long non-coding RNA, 921 nt
Filed under: Numida meleagris (helmeted guineafowl)
Lineage: Eukaryota; Metazoa; Chordata; Aves; Galliformes; Numididae
Description: lncRNA (ENSNMEG00000010393.1)
Source: RNAcentral